RNAcentral lists this unclassified non-coding RNA (377 nucleotides) under uncultured Alphaproteobacteria bacterium. RNAcentral describes it as "contains 16S-23S intergenic spacer region". Lineage: Bacteria; Pseudomonadati; Pseudomonadota; Alphaproteobacteria. The record is from RNAcentral.
UCACUACUUGCGUAGGCAGUCUGGCUAGAGUCCCCACCUUAACCUGCUGGUAACUAACCACAGGGGUUGCGCUCGUUGCGCCACUUAAGGCAACACCUCACGACACGAGCUGACGACAGCCAUGCAGCACCUGUCUCCGCGCCCCUUGCGGGGACCGCCCAUCUCUGAGCGUGGCACGGGAUGUCAAGGCCUGGUAAGGUUCUGCGCGUUGCGUCGAAUUAAACCACAUGCUCCACCGCUUGUGCGGGCCCCCGUCAAUUCCUUUGAGUUUCAACCUUGCGGCCGUACUCCCCAGGCGGGAUGCUUAAUGCGUUAGCUGCGCCGCUGAUAAGCAUGCUUACCAACGGCUAGCAUCCAUCGUUUACGGCGUGGACUAC